UACAGAGGGUGCGAGCGUUGUUCGGCAUUAUUGGGCGUAAAGCGCUUGUCGGCGGCACGUCAAGUCGCGUGUGAAAUCCCCAGGCUUAACCUGGGAAGUGCGCGCGAAACUGACGAGCUUGAGUGCCGGAGAGGGUCGCGGAAUUCCCGGUGUAGAGGUGAAAUUCGUAGAUAUCGGGAGGAACACCAGUGGCGAAGGCGGCGACCUGGACGGACACUGACGCUGAGGUGCGAAAGCGUGGGGAGCAAACAGG
RNAcentral lists this ribosomal RNA (253 nucleotides) under uncultured bacterium. RNAcentral describes it as "partial 16S ribosomal RNA". It matches the Rfam family "Bacterial small subunit ribosomal RNA", at positions 524 to 776 of the family's 1533-position model. The record is from RNAcentral.